This is a long non-coding RNA of Triticum dicoccoides, 1746 nucleotides long. RefSeq lists it as uncharacterized. Lineage: Eukaryota; Viridiplantae; Streptophyta; Magnoliopsida; Poales; Poaceae. The transcript has 14 exons. The record is from RefSeq and is a predicted model, not a curated record.
GUGGCCUAGGGGGUCGGCGCGGCCGCGGCUUCUCGUCGUCUCCGCCGUCGCCUCGACGCCUCGAUGCCCAGCCGGCCGCCGCCGCACAUCAUGAGGUGGAAUGCGACCCAUUCCCUCGCCGUCCCCUCGGCCCAGGCUACCCCUAGCGCCACGGUCGCCAUGCCCUGUCGUCUCCUCGACAGGAGGAAGAGCGAGGCCACAAACGGAUCUGGAGAUUGAAUCGGGCUCCAAUGGCUCCUGCGCGGCAUGAUGCAUGUUAAGGGUGGUUGCUAUCUCAGACAUCUCCUCGUCCCUCUUCGUGUGCUGCUAGGAGCCUAUAUGUGAUGUGUACUUGUGUUGGUGCCUUUACAGAAGAACCAUUAUGCCUUCCUCUCGGUGUGUGUUGUUGAGGCUAUCAAACAAGCCAAUGGCGUUGCAUAAAUGGUUUGUGAAGAUUGUCAUUGGAGUCUAGCUGGGGUAGUAGGCUGUCAAAAAGAUGCGGUCGCUUGUAGAACCUUGCAUGUGCCGUUAGUGAGUGGUCUUGUGGAGUUGCAGGACUGGGCAGGAGGACCGUAGGCUGCACACACAAACGAGGAUGUCGAGUUGUCCACGAUGAUGUCGUGGUUGAUUGGGACUCGGAAGGAGUGUCGACCGUGAAUACAAAGAGGAGGUCGAGCCAUCGCCAUUCAUCUAGACGCCUGCCAUGCACAAGUCGACACAUCUAUAGAAAUCUAGAGUUCGCCAAAGCUGGCCAUGCUGUCGCAGAUCGGUUCAUGGUCGCGUGGGGCAUCCUCUGGAGCUUCCCUGAGACCAAGAGUCCAAGACACACAUUCUGGAGAUCAGUUGGUCCAUCGCUGAGCAUUUGUGCGGUGCUGCAUCUACAUUUAGGGAGGCUCACAAGGAGACCAUAGACCAUAGAGCAGCAGAUUGUGUACAAUGAUGGCAUCAAGCCCAAAUACAGCAUGCUCUUUUAGUCAGAAGGCCUUACACCAUUGCCGUUCCCCAGGACUCGGAAGGAGGAUGGCCGCCCGUAGACGAAAGAGGAGGUUGAGACAUCUGCUGUGCCUGCUGCAGCGACCACGACUACUGCAUCAAAAGAAACUUGACCGGCCGGUGCCGCGCGAAUCUGGUUCGACGAGGUCGUUGGCGACCUGCUGCGGGAGCGGGAUAACGGGAUCAGCUCCGGGAGGUCCGGGGCACGCUGCUGCCGCUCGUGCGGCAGAAUGUCUUUGGUCUUCAAUCUGUUUUCUUCUUCAAUGAAGCUAACCACGAUAUCCUGCACGUACUGCACCGCUCCCAGAGUUUCCACGGCGCGGCGGCUCGAACUGACGCUCUCAGCCACAGCGCGCCUGGAUCAGUCAGGUCGAUCGAGGGACAAUACUGGCAACCGCUCGUCCGUGCUGAUCUUCGACCGAGAUAGAGUUCAGGUUAUCACACCAUAUGAAGUGAAAGCGCCGUUGGGACUGCUCGCGGUGCAUAGAACUUCCAUGGCAGCACGGGCGAUUCGAAGGCCCACUUGAGCUCCUCCUGCUGAUGUCAGACGGUGAGGUUUCUCAACCUCCACUCUAUUAGCCAUGGUCACAAAGUCUUUGUGCCAGGAUUCUUCCCUUUGUAAAUGUGAAAGCGGCUUGUACGAUCUAUUCACAGACUUGCUCUGCUGCUUUGUAGCCCAACUGAUUAUGUACUCUUGAUCAUCCUCAUGGCAUCUGUCAACUCCAUUGUGAAUCGUCUCUUUAUCUUAAGGCUGACUUGCUAUGCUAGAAUGAU